UCUUCGACACCAAUCUCGUCGUGGCUUAAAUUUCGUACCAUACUUGGGAUGCCUCUUCCGAACGAGAUAAAAUUGGCUCGAUCCAGCUAGGGUUCCGUGAAUUGCCCAUGGAUGUUCGCCUUCUUGCUAUUUCGUGAUUCUUAAUGGUUCUGGAAACUUGUUUCGAAAGUUUUGGAUCGAUUUAGAAGGUAAUUCCGAGUGUUGGUGAUCGUAGAACCUGGUAUCAGAUGCUCGAUGCCGUAAAGUUGCCUGCUUUAUGGGGUGUGUGAUUCUGGGGUUAUGAAGAACAUACUCCUGUGCUCUUUGGCGGGGUCACAUUUACCUUUUUGUUGGGUUCAGGAUCUAUCCCACCGACUAAUAGGUUUCAAUGCAGUUGAAAUGACUGAAGAAGGCACAGCUACAUGCGGACGGUGCAAGGGAAGAAGCAAACCAAAGGACACCGAUGGACUGGAGAAAAGCAAAGGCAAGAAGGAUGUGAACGAAGAUGACCAUGUUUUAGAAGAGGGUGGAGAAGAAAAGAAGGAAGGUGAAGCAGAAGAGGAUGGCGAGGAAGAGAAGGCGAAACCAAAGAGGGAGGGGGAGGAAAAAAAGGAAGGUGAAAUAGAAGAUGAUGGAGAUAAAAAGAAGGAAGGGGAAGUAGAUGGGGAUGAAAUAAAGGGAAGGCGGAGAUGGGGAGAAGGAAGGUGAAGAAGUAGAAGAUGGAGACGAAACGAAGAAAGGUGAAGUAAAAGAAAAUGGAGACAAAAAGAAGAAAGAUAAAGAAGUGAUCGAUGGUGAAGGAAAUGAGGAUGGAUGGCCGACAACACACGACAGAUUUGGAAUGUGUGGGCGGAGAAAAAGAGGCCACCGAGAAAGUAAAUACAGUAGAAAAUGGUGGAUGUAGAUGACGUCAAAGAUGAAGAAAAAGGUUGGUUGUGUCACGUGAUUGCUUUCGUCAUCGACUUGAGAUGUGAUAGCGCCAUAACACCGGUUGGAGACUCGUCCGUCUCCUUUGCCUUAUCGAGAAUAUAAAUUUCUUUUCUUGAAAAUAUCAUAAAAUAAUAUAAUUAUUUUAAGAAUUGAAUUGAGUAAUUAUUUAUCCAAUUCCAACAGCUUAAUCUAUCAAAAAAAACUAAUAUAUACAAUUAAUGAUCAGUAUAAUGAUUGAGUGGUACCGGCUUUAGUAUACAAUUAAUGAUCAGUCACUGUAUCGAUGACUCGUCGACUGGCUAUAUAGAGGGAGUUUUUGGUUAUCCGCUUCUCAACCAGCUUGGGGUCUUAACUUUCGAGAGAUGGCAGAGAUCGCCACGGUAAUUAUCACGGUGGACCUGCACUGCUGCACCUGCUCCAAGAAGAUCAAGAAAACUCUGUGCAAGCUCCAAAGCAAGCUACCUUCUCCCUCUCUCUCUCUCUUUUUGCUGACUAAUUUCUGUGGAAAUUGGUCGUUGUGUUGGAGACCGGUUCAACAUCGAAUCAAUUGUCUACGACGAGAAGAAGAACACCAUCACAGUAUCCGGCCCCUUCAACCCUGACUGCUUCAUCAAGAAGCUUCGCUGCCUCGCCUGCAAGGUGAUCAUAUGUGUCCAGAUCAAGCCGAAACCCGUCAAACCACCGCCACCGCCACCGCCGCCUAAGGUGGAGGUGGAGGUGAAUUUAGACGUGUGUGUUUUCCCGCCCCCGGGGUGGCCCAACUGCUGUGCCUGCGACGGCCCCCCGCCGUCCGCCUCCUGCCGUCCCUGUCGCGAGUUUGACGGCUGCAGGAUCAUCGUCGAGCAGGAGCCUUGUCAGUCCUGCUCUAUUAUGUAGUUUCCUAUACGUAUUCUUAUUCUCGUUGCAAGAUGUUAUUGGGUAAGAGAUAACGGAUAAGGCGGACAGAGGUAAACGUCAUGUGACUUCCUCUGUCAGCAAUGUACGUAUGUGAUGAUAUAUAUGUUUAUGCUGUUAUAUCUCAGUCGUCGCAAUAUGAUGUUUAUAUAGA
This is a long non-coding RNA of Musa acuminata AAA Group (dessert banana), 1957 nucleotides long. RefSeq lists it as uncharacterized. The transcript is spliced from 3 exons. Lineage: Eukaryota; Viridiplantae; Streptophyta; Magnoliopsida; Zingiberales; Musaceae. The record is from RefSeq and is a predicted model, not a curated record.